CGGAUCGUAAAGCUCUGUUGUAAGUGAAGNACNGCUCAUAGAGGAAAUGCUAUGGGAGUGACGGUAGCUUACCAGAAANCCACGGCUAACUACGUGCCAGCAGCCGCGGUAAUACGUAGGUGGCAAGCGUUAUCCGGAAUCAUUGGGCGUAAAGGGUGCGUAGGUGGCGUACUAAGUCUGUAGUAAAAGGCAAUGGCUCAACCAUUGUAAGCUAUGGAAACUGGUAUGCUGGAGUGCAGAAGAGGGCGAUGGAAUUCCAUGUGUAGCGGUAAAAUGCGUAGAUAUAUGGAGGAACACCAGUGGCGAAGGCGGUCGCCUGGUCUGUAACUGACACUGAGGCACGAAAGCGUGGGGAGCAAAUAGGAUUAGAUACCCUAGUAGUCCACGCCGUAAACGAUGAGAACUAAGUGUUGGAGGAAUUCAGUGCUGCAGUUAACGCAAUAAGUUCUCCGCCUGGGGAGUAUGCACGCAAGUGUGAAACUCAAAGGAAUUGACGGGGGCCCGCACAAGCGGUGGAGUAUGUGGUUUAAUUCGAAGCAACGCGAAGAACCUUACCAGGCCUUGACAUGGAAGCAAAUGCCCUAGAGAUAGGGGGAUAAUUAUGGAUCACACAGGUGGUGCAUGGUUGUCGUCAGCUCGUGUCGUGAGAUGUUGGGUUAAGUCCCGCAACGAGCGCAACCCUUGUCGCAUGUUACCAGCAUCAAGUUGGGGACUCAUGCGAGACUGCCGGUGACAAACCGGAGGAAGGUGGGGAUGACGUCAAAUCAUCAUGCCCCUUAUGGCCUGGGCUACACACGUACUACAAUGGCGACCACAAAGAGCAGCGACACAGUGAUGUGAAGCGAAUCUCAUAAAGGUCGUCUCAGUUCGGAUUGAAGUCUGCAACUCGACUUCAUGAAGUCGGAAUCGCUAGUAAUCGCAGAUCAGCAUGCUGCGGUGAAUACGUUCUCGGGCCUUGUACACACCGCCCGUCAAACCAUGGGAGUCAGUAAUACCCGAAGCCGGUGGCAUAACCGUAAGGAGUGAGCCGUCGAAG
This 1036-nucleotide ribosomal RNA is filed under the name [Clostridium] innocuum. RNAcentral describes it as "bacterial SSU rRNA". It matches the Rfam family "Bacterial small subunit ribosomal RNA", at positions 419 to 1461 of the family's 1533-position model. Lineage: Bacteria; Bacillati; Bacillota; Clostridia; Eubacteriales; Clostridiaceae. The record is from RNAcentral.